CUGUGCAGCAACGCCAAGGAGAACCGGGGAGAUCAAAGAGAAAGCUCUCUUGGUACCUGAAUCCUAGGCCAAAGGUGACUGCAGGAGAGAGUGACUCAGAGCAGAAAAGAUGGAUGCAAAAUGGAGGCCCAGAUGCCAAGUUUUUAUCCUGCUGAGUUACCCGGUGGGCACUUGCAGCCCCAAGAGAAGCCUCAGUGGGUUUAGUGAAACUGGUGGUGAAGUCCCUGUCACCCUCUGCGGUCCAGGUGGUGCUGACGGGGUGAUGAAGCCACUGAUCUGACUUUGGGCCGGAUUUUCAAAGUAUGCACGGUAGAACUGGGACUGUUACUAAACUAAUGGAAAUGGGGCAUAGGUUCCAAAGCAGUAGAGGGAAAAGAAGGGUUAGGAAAA
Long non-coding RNA from Fukomys damarensis (Damara mole-rat), 390 nucleotides. RefSeq lists it as uncharacterized. The record is from RefSeq and is a predicted model, not a curated record. Lineage: Eukaryota; Metazoa; Chordata; Mammalia; Rodentia; Bathyergidae. The transcript has 2 exons.